ACAUGAUCUAUAGUUAUGCCUAAACAAUUUUUUGCUCUAUUUAUAGACACUACAUAAAGGGGAAAGCUGCUUAUAGUAAUAUGAGGAUCACUGGUCUCUCAGUAAUUAAAUAGACUUGUUAUACUGCAUUAAUCCUUUUUGGAACAUUUGGAAUGACUUCUUAGCACUAACAGGCACGGUAUUAGGGCCUUCAAUUAAUCUCUCUUUCUCCUUCAACAUUUGUCUAAUACAAAACAGGAACCCGGGAAGCCAUACUUGGAGAUCAGAUCAAAAUUUAAACUGCCACACAGUGCUAUUGAAUACUAUGAGUUGCAGAAUGGGUAGGGGAACGUUCAGAUUAUGGUAAAUAAUGAACUGCGGAGUGUGAAAACCUUAUCUAUCUUGUUUACCAGUUUGCAUUAGGAGGUUCGACAGCAGUCUUAUGGUUCCAAGUGCACCAACGACUGAGGAUGUCGGUGGAACAUAGCUGGAUUCUUACGGACUCUUAGCAUCAAAAUGCUGUCAAUUUAAACUACAAAACACAGCAACUCCAAGAUGCACUCCCCAACACCAUUGACUCCCUCCAAUUGUUUGAGCAAUUUGCCAAGGACACCCCUAUUAUUAGCUAUGCAGGUUCAGAAGCUUCAGCUGCUGCAGAAUUUGGCAGCCAAGUUGCUCAUUGGGUCAAGACGGUUUGAAUACAGUGGUACCUCAGGUUAAGAACUUAAUUCAUUCUGGAGGUCUGUUCUUAACCUGAAACUGUUCUUAACCUGAAGCACCACUUUAGCUAAUGGGGCCUCCCGCUGCUGCUGCGCCACUGCUGCACGAUUUCAUCCUGAAGCAAAGUUCUUAACCCGAGGUACUAUUUCUGGGUUAGCGGAGUCUGUAACCUGAAGCGUCUGUAACCUGAGGUACCACUGUAUAUUGCACCGGUCUGGGCCCAAUUGAAAGUGCUGGUUUUGACUGGUACAGCCUGAAACGGGUCAGGACUGCAGUACUUCAAGGACUUGCUCUCCUCCCUAUAGGAACUGAUGUGGAUCCUGAAAUCAUCUUUUGCAGCUCUUAUUUGUGUGCCUUCUCUAUGAGAAAUCUGGAAGAUGGCUACACAAGUACCGGCCUUUCCUGUGGCUCCUCACUUGUGGGAUGCUCUCCCCAGGAAGGCUCACCUGACGCCUUCAUUACAUAUAUUUAGGUGCCCUGGGAAAAACAAUCCUUUCCUCCCAGGCCUUUGGGGUUUUGCGUUUGGUUUGUUACUACGAUAUGUAUUUUUGUAUUUUUAUGUUGUAAACCUGCCUCUGAUUCUCGAAUGAAGGGCGGUAUAGAAAUUUAAUUAAUAUUAAUAAAAGGGAAAAGGGAAAGGACCCCUGGACAGUUAAGUCCAGUUAAAGGCGACUAUGGGGUGCGGCGCUCAUGUUGCUUUCAGGCUGAAGGAGAAGCCAGUGUUUGUCUGCAGACAGCUUUCCGGGUCAUGUGGCCAGCAUGACUAAACCGCUUCUGGUGCAACGGAACACCGUGACAGAAACCAGAGAGCACGGAAAUGCCGUUUACCUUCCCAAUGCAGCAAUACCUAUUUAUCUACUUGUGCUGGUAUGCUUUCAAACUGCUAGGUUGGCAGGAGCUGGGACAGAGCAAUGGGAGCUCACCCCGUUGCGGGGUUUCGAACCGCCGACCUUCUGAUCAGCAAGCCCAAGAGGCUAGGUGGUUUAGACCACAGCGCUACCUGUGUCCUAUAUUAAUAUUAAUAAUAAUAAGAUGAACAGUAAAAGCAUAAAAACACAGAAAAUGAAAAGUACCUUAAAAAUAAUGCAUUUAAACACCUGGAGGGGAAAAGAAGAUACAAUUGCAUAUUGAAUGUCAGGGUGCAGAAGCAAUAUGCCACUGAGUACCAGCUGGUAGAAAGCAAUGAUGGAUGGAGUCUACUGGCUUCAUGUCUUUUUAGGUGUUCAUUGGCCAGUGUGGGGAAACAGGACGCUAGGCAAGGUUUAGUCAUUUAUUACACUUCACCUUGCCUUUUCUCCAGGUAGCUCCCCCUUGUCUUAUCUUCACAACAACCCUAUGAGGUUGGCAAGGUUGACAUAGAGUGUCCCCCAAUGAGCUUGAUGGGUGGAGCAGGAAUUUGAACCUGGAUCUCCCUGAUGCUAGCCUGACACUCUCAAUCACAACAUUGCACUGGACAUUGGGUCGCUUCUAGCAAGCUGUAUUAUUCUCAGUGAUGCUGGAACUGAUCCGUGAUGUCAUUAUUCCCUGCUGCAUGCACAAGACACACCCUGAAGGACACAAGGAUACCCUCAACAGUGGAAAAAAGACACCGUGGUGAACCCACUGAUUGGUCAGUAGAUGACAUGCUUCAAAAAUCCUUGUGGACAGGCGUUUGCAUCACUUCAUAUUUAAAAUAUCUGCUCUUUUCACUCGUUUACACCUAGGGGACGAAGGAGGGCAAUACAGAAUAGCAGUACUUCCCUUGAAAUGACUCCUGUUUGAGGAACACACAGACCAUUCCCUUGAAUAAAGCAAAACCCGUCUAAGGUGAAGGAACCUUUUGUAAGAAAAAGCUUUUUGCCAGGCAGGAAAAGGGAGGAAACGGUGAGGGAAGCCAUAAUUGCACACUCGCAAGACUGAGCUCCAUCAGCUUAUUCCGUAGACUGACAUGGGUUUGGGAAACAGGAAAUGCAAGUUGAGUUAAACAAUAGUUAGCCUCUGAAACACAUAGUUCAGAUGCUCAGUAGGGAAUGAAUGAGGAAGUAUUCUACCUCCUAGAUGCUUGCCCAGUGCCCUCGUCUCUGCCUCCCCGCCCCCUGUUGUGAGUAGAGAGCCUAAUCGCUUGCAGUGGAGCUGUGCUUCUCAAUUGUUGGUUCUUCUGCAUGCGCCUAGGCUAUGAUCUUGGAAAGCAAAAGAGAUAAUGAGUGUUAGCAGUCGGUAAUUGUUUUAAUAGCGUGCCUGACAUUCACCAACAGUGUCCCUGCAUGUGGGGUCCACAAUGCAGGCUUCCCUUUCUGCAGAGCACAUAUUUGCCCUCUGUUCAAGACUCUGCUACUACUAGUUUGGGACAGAGGAAGGAUUAGUUAGCAAGCAGCUUGUACACAUUGCAUGGGGGCAUGGGAGACAUUUGCAUCAGUCGUAUUUCGAGGCACGAGUUUCCCCUUCCUUGGCAUAACUGUGUUGGAAGUUUUGUCCCUGCAUCUUCAGUUGCAGGAAUGAAGUUGAGGAUCCUGCUGGAUGUGUGGAGUCCUGAGAUGCGUUAUCUGUAUAGUUUGAAGAAUUUGCAACUUUUCCUGAAAGUGAGCAAGUACCGGUAACCAGUGGCAAGAAUCGGGAUUUGUCAUGGCUCCAUCCCCCCUCCCCCGGAAUAUGUUGCUGGUGCGGUGCAAACACAUUCCUCGUUUGACUGACCAGGGACGAUUUAGUAUGAGUUUUACAUAAGCGUGAAAGGAAAUGAACUUUAAUCUGGUGGGUAUAAUGAGAGUUCAAGCAUUUUACAUUUAAAAUCCUCUUCUUUCUUUAUUUGUACUCUCCUUGGUGUCGACAGAUAUCCUUAAAAUCAAGUUGUGACCAUGUAAUUGUUUUGGAUCUUGUUUUAGACAUUGGCAGCAUGUGCGUCUUUCCCCUAAUCAGUUGUAAUGCUGUUCUGUUUUGAACAGUUUGAUACUAUUUUAAAUUUUCAUUUAUAUACGCUACAAGAAUUAUUUUACCAAGUUUUAACAUUUUCAAUUUCGACUCUCCUCCCGCUUUUUCUGCGGUUCCUUGCAUUUAUUUUCGUCCUUUUCUGCAUACUCCAAAUCACCUUAACUUGUUCUUUUAAUCAUCUAUCCUCAUAUAUGUAUCAUAUAUAUACAUUUAAACUGAAGGUUUCUUAUAGUAAUACUGCCAGUGUCUUGAUCUGUUUACAGCUUGUUUGUAAAUACUCAAUAAACCACCUCCUUUCCUUUCUAAAUGUUUGAUACUAUUUUAGGCCAUGUUCCUGGGACCAGUCAGCACAGCCAGAAGCAACGCUGUAAGGGAAUUGACUUGGAUCAUGCAAAUGAGACUACUGAAUAGUAAUAGUUAUGGGCAAUAUUUUGGAAAACACCAAUUUAGUGACAGUUUUAUUGCUGCAAAUGUAUGUAUGAAGUCCCUUGAUUUCAUUGUAAUGCACUGGAAACAGAUGUCAAAGUGUCCCAAACUGAAUUUAAUAGUUAAUCUACAUAUCACAAAGAAACUACAAACAAACCAUUUAGAAUUUGGUUGUUUAAUCCUGUUAGAGGAUCUGAAAAGACACCCCAUAGAGUAAAACCAUUUUAUACUCCUCUUGGCUUUUUUUUAAUGAGAGCAGGACAAGAUGCUCAUGAUAAAUAGUAAUUUAAUUUGUAAGCAUUUUGAAUUCAGACAGUGCAGCAGUUUCCCAUUCAUUGCUUCACUGAAGUCAUGCCUCAGGGCUAAAUCUUUUGUUUUUCAAAAAGAAUAUCGGACAAGAACUGGAGAGGGCAGAUUUAGGGUUAGGAUAUCAUAUCUCAGGACAAGGGUUGGACUUGAUCAUUCACUAGAGUCUCCUUUUAUGGCAUGGCUCAAGCAUCACAUUAAACCAUAGCUAUAGCUCAGAGAAGCUAUGGUUUAAUGUGAAUGUCCAGGGUGCUUGUGCAUGCUGUUGAAAAGUUGUUGCUCUUUUCCUGCUGCUGCUGCUGAAGCACGAAGAAGCAAGCCAUUAUGUCCAAAUCUGGUUUUGUGGUUUAUUUCCCUCAAACAAACUGUAAGCAUCAAGCCUAGAACAAACCUUGAUUUGUCACCGGCGGUUUGUUGUUGAAAGGUGAAAAAACUUCCCCUCUAUUCUCCUUUUCCGGCAUAUAUUGUAUUUUAAGCAUCUACCCAGUGUUAGAAACUGAGAUAUGAAAGUUAGGAGCUAAAUGGCACCUUAAACUUAGGUUACGGGUGCAACAGCGGAAUGUCUAGGUGCACUUUUUUAUAGCAAGAAUACAAAGCUGAAAAUGAAGGAACUGCUGCUAAAAUCUUAUGUUCAUUUUUCACAUGCUCUAGUUGUCAUCUGAAGACUGCAAAAAACAAAACAAAACAAGACUGUUCUUCCCCCUGCCUGGCCCCCUUAUAUUCUUAAGAGGGUCCCUUCUCCAGUCUUCAGAGAGUGGCUGGAAGUGGGGAGGCAGAAAAAGGUCCUCCUUUCCUUCCACUCUGCAGUUUUAAUCUGGAAUCUUACGCCCAGCACUGCGCCCAAAGCUCAGAAACAGCUCGCGCUAAUGAAAGUCCCUGUUGCAAAACGCUCCUAGAACAACAGGAAUUUCGAACGCUGCAUCUACUACUCUGCAGCCAGUUUUCUUUUUGUGGGGAAAAUGAGAUUGUAUUCUAGUGAUCCCUGUUGGUCCUUCCUAUUGGUUAGGCUCUGUUGUAGAGGACCUAUAAUGUUGAGGGUCAUCUGUAGGAUUUUUAAUAGGUGAUUUGGAGAGAAGUCUCAUUUCAAUGGUUUCUUCAAGAAAUGAACGAGUGUGUUAUUGCCGGUGCCACAAAUCUUGGCUUGACUUUGUAGCCGGAUAUUAUUUGUGGAAGCAGCAUCAUCUGUGUGUACCAAAGAACUUGGAGUGGAGAGGAAGGCUGUUUUGCUUCAUGCUGAUUUGGCAGAAGGCUAGAACAGCAAGCUUAUGCAAAAGCACUGUGCAAAACAGAAUGCCCCAGCCCCAGCCUGGCGGGUGCACAGGACCUGAGGGAGGGGUGUAGUCUUGUUCCACCUUGUGCAGAGUUCUGAAUAAAACAACAAAACAAAAAAAACCCUGGUCGAGUCUUUUUCAUCACCUUCUUCUUGUGUUCUGGGAUAUCUGAACUGCUUUCCUUUCCACUGGAUUCCUAUUUAUAAUUUCUAGGCAAGGCCAAAUACAGUGGUACCUCAGGUUAAGAACUUAAUUCGUUCUGGAGGUCCAUUCUUAACCUGAAACUGUUCUUAACCUGAGGUACCACUUUAGCUAAUGGGGCCUACUGCUGCCAACGCGCUGCCACCGUGCAAUUUUUGUUCUCAUCCUGAGGUAAAGUUCUUAACCCAAGGUACUAUUUCUGGGUUAGCGGAGUCUGUAACCUGAAGUGUCUGUAACCCGAGGUACCACUAUAUGGGCAUCUUUCACCCUGUAUAUGGCUCCUUUUUCUUUCUUAUGCAAUACAACCCCAGGUGGUUUACUACACAACGUGCAGUGGUAUAAAUAGGUCCCCCAGCUGCCAAUUUUCUCAACCCCAUUGACCACAUUUACCCCAGCAACUGAGGGACCACUAAUCGGGUUGCUGUGGCUAUCCAAAUGCUCCCACCCACAAACAGUGAGGUCAUUCUUGGUGAUCUCACUGCAACAUGUGCUCUCCAUGAUGAGGACACGAUUAAUCAGAAAGGCGGGUGGGGGGAAAACACAUGCAAAAUUGUCAAACUAAAAGCAAGGUAAAUCGCAAAUCUCUUUUAUCCAAAGUGGAGAGCGAAAUGAAUCUAAGCCCCCCUGAGAUUUGAUUGCAUUCCUCAGGAGAAUGCAUCUCAGAGGACCUGUUUUUAGUGUCGCAUCUCAUGUGACUAAUAUUAUUAGUACCAAAUAUUGUCAGCACUGCAAUAAGUACUAACUGGCUUUCUUAAAAUGUUCCUAUGCAUUUCUUUCAACUGUAAUUUGAAUGCAAAACUUGUAUGGACCUAGGGUGACUUCGGAAUUCACCCAUCUCUAGAGACGGUCAUGUUGACUCAGAAAUACUAUGAGCAACAUGGCCUUAACAAUCCUGGGCUGCAACAAUGCAGAGAGGGAGAAAGAGAUAGACGGACUUCACUCAUUAUUAAGAAGAAUCUCCAGUCCUACUGCUGCAGCUGAGGUUACUGGCAGUGUUCAGGAAGCAAAAGCAUCCAAACCCAAAAUUACAAAUUCAGUGCCAAAUGUUUAAAUUGCUCUGCCUUUUGAAAAGAAUGUUUCUUGGACCACAGUUCUUCGCAUCCUUUAACACGAAUGUUUAGUCUGACUCUGUAGAUCUAAUGGAAAAGGCCCAUUCUCCAAAGUAGUUGACUCACCAGCCAUUGCCCACUUUCCAUUCAAUCAACAGCCAUUGUUCGCUCCCCAUCCGCAGGGGGCUAAGUGAAUUUGAGCCACGCCUCCUGCCCUGAUUGGCUACCACAGUAGCUUGGAGGAACUAGCCAAGAGGAUAAAUUUGGAGCCGGCUAGCAAAGGAACCGACUUGCACAGCAGGCUCUUCUUAUGCUCUUAAGACUCUAAGAGCCGAUAUACAAUGUUUGCUUAAUUAGCAGCAUAAUGUAGUUGUUUCUUAGACAAUUUGAUACAUUUGUAGACGUUCCAGAUUGCACUAUUUAAUUAUUUUACAGAACUGUAUAUACUGCUUAAAAUAGAAUCUCAAAAUGGUACGCCUCCUACAAUAUACAAUCAAUAAAAGCUCAGCAUAUAAUAUUAUUAAUACUACUACUACUACUACUAAUAAUAAUAAUAAUAAUUUAUUAAAAUUGUAUGCUGCCCUAUACCUGCAGGGCCUAAGUAAAUAAUAGUAACAAUAAUAAUAAUUUUUAUUAAAUUUGUAUGUCUCAGGGCAGUUCACAGGGUAAAACCACAACCUAAAAUCAC
Molecule: long non-coding RNA, 7544 nt
Filed under: Podarcis lilfordi (Lilford's wall lizard)
Lineage: Eukaryota; Metazoa; Chordata; Lepidosauria; Squamata; Lacertidae
Source: RNAcentral